RNAcentral lists this ribosomal RNA (406 nucleotides) under uncultured bacterium. Its description in RNAcentral is "partial 16S ribosomal RNA". It matches the Rfam family "Bacterial small subunit ribosomal RNA", at positions 30 to 526 of the family's 1533-position model. The record is from RNAcentral.
AUUGAACGCUGGCGGCAGGCCUAACACAUGCAAGUCGAACGAGUGGCGGACGGGUGUGUAACGUCUGGGAAACUGCCUGACGGAGGGGGAUAACUACUGGUAACGGUAGCUAAUACCGCAUACCAUCAGAUGUGCCCAGGUGGGAUUAGCUUGUUUGUGGGGUAACGGCUCACCAAGGCGACGAUCCCUAGCUGGUCUGAGAGGAUGACCAGCCACACUGGAACUGAGAGACGGUACAGACGCCUACGGGAGGCGGGAGUGGGGAAUAUUGCACAAUGGGCGCAAGCCUGGUGGGGCCAUGCCGAGUGUAUGAAGAAGGCCUUCGGGUUGUAAAGUACUUUCAGCGGGGAGGCGUUACCAGAAGAAGAAGCACCGGCUAACUCCGUGCCAGCAGCCGCGGUAAUUC